GGGGCUGACCGGUUUUGACAGCGAGAUGAAAAGAUUUGUAAGCAUGCCGAGCUAUUCGAUUGAUGCUCGUAAAUACAACAUCGAAAUUUGUAAUUGGCGAGUCUAACUACGCUCUUGCCGCUUAAUCAUUCUUAUAGAGUGAUAGGCUAAUUUCACACUAGGUGUGGAAGCGAGACAUCUCUCAAUAUCCCUGUCUUGCGGAGAUUGAUCAAGAGGUGUAAUAAAGGCAAGAAUAGGAAUACUUCUUCUAUGUCGGUAUUCUGAAAUAUAAGUAGAUAAGCAUAUAGUGGGUUGUCUAACAUCAGCUAAGUGUCGAAAAUCAAUGUUGGAAUAAGCAUGUAGAAAACAUAUGUUUUCCUCGUCUGGACGCGGGUUCGAUUCCCGCCAGCUCCAC
RNAcentral lists this transfer-messenger RNA (394 nucleotides) under Owenweeksia sp. TMED14. RNAcentral describes it as "transfer-messenger RNA, SsrA". It matches the Rfam family "transfer-messenger RNA". Rfam says of the family: Bacterial tmRNA, also known as 10Sa RNA or SsrA, is named for its dual tRNA and mRNA-like properties. Its role is to liberate the mRNA from a stalled ribosome. To accomplish this part of the tmRNA is used as a reading frame that ends in a translation stop signal. The record is from RNAcentral. Lineage: Bacteria; Pseudomonadati; Bacteroidota; Flavobacteriia; Flavobacteriales; Owenweeksiaceae.